RNAcentral lists this ribosomal RNA (328 nucleotides) under uncultured eukaryote. Its description in RNAcentral is "partial 18S ribosomal RNA". It matches the Rfam family "Eukaryotic small subunit ribosomal RNA", at positions 1470 to 1796 of the family's 1831-position model. The record is from RNAcentral.
CCCUUAGAUGUCCUGGGCCGCACGCGCGCUACACUGAUGCAUGCAACGAGUUUAUAACCUUGGCCUGAAAGGUCUGGGUAAUCUUUUGAACGUGCAUCGUGAUAGGGAUAGAUUAUUGCAAUUGUUAAUCUUUAACGAGGAAUUCCUAGUAAACGCGAGUCAUCAGCUCGCAUUGAUUACGUCCCUGCCCUUUGUACACACCGCCCGUCGCACCUACCGAUUGAAUGGUUCGGUGAAGAUCUCGGACUUCGAUAUUUAUUCUUUAUUGAGUUUAUAUUGUGGGAAGUUAUCUAAACCUCAUCAUUUAGAGGAAGGUGAAGUCGUAACA